GAUCAGUUAUUGAGGUAAACAGACACAGGUCUAUCUCUGUAGGGAUCAGUUAUUGAGGUAAACAGACACAGGUGUAUCUCUGUAGGGAUCAGUUAUUGAGGUAAACAGACACAGGUCUAUCUCUGUAGUUAUUCGGGUAAACAGACACAGGUGUAUCUCUGUAGGGAUCAGUUAUUGAGGUAAACAGACACAGGUCUAUCUCUGUAGGGAUCAGUUAUUGGGGUAAACAGACACAGGUCUAUCUCUGUAGGGAUCAGUUAUUGGGGUAAACAGACACAGGUCUAUCUCUGUAGGGAUCAGUUAUUGGGGUAAACAGACACAGGUCUAUCUCUGUAGGGAUCAGUUAUUGAGGUAAAUAGACACAGGUCUAGGAUCAGUUAUUGAGGUAAAC
This is a long non-coding RNA of Clupea harengus (Atlantic herring), 391 nucleotides long. The record is from Ensembl. NCBI's taxonomy places the organism in Eukaryota, Metazoa, Chordata, Actinopteri, Clupeiformes, Clupeidae.